UAACGCAUGCAAGUCGAGCGAUGAGGCUCCCUUCGGGGAGUACAUCAGCGGCAGACGGGUGAGUAACACGUAGGUAACCUGCCCUCAAGACGGGGAUAACGCCUGGAAACGGGCGCUAAUACCGGAUGACCUUAGUUGGGGAAGAUCCGAUUAAGGAAAGGCUAUGGCGCUUGAGGAGGGGCCUGCGGCCCAUCAGUUAGUUGGUAGGGUAACGGCCUACCAAGGCGAAGACGGGUAGGGGGUGUGAGAGCACGGCCCCCCACACUGGGACUGAGACACGGCCCAGACUCCUACGGGAGGCAGCAGCGGGGAAUAUUGCGCAAUGGACGGAAGUCAGACGCAGCGACGCCGCGUGGGUGAAGAAGGCCUUCGGGUUGUAAAGCCCUUUUCUGAGGGAAGAGAAAGGACGGUACCUUAGGAAUAAGCGUCGACUAACUACGUGCCAGCAGCCGCGGUAAGACGUAGGACGCGAGCGUUAUCCGGAUUUACUGGGCGUAAAGCGUGUGUAGGCGGCGUGACAAGUUGGGCGUGAAAGCCCCGUGCUCAACGCGGGGAGGCCGCACAAUACUGUCAGGCUAGAGGGCACCAGAGGGGUGUGGAAUUCCCGGAGUAGCGGUAAAAUGCGCAGAUAUCGGGAGGAACACCGGUGGCGAAAGCGGCACCCUGGGGUGCGCCUGACGCUGAGAGACGACAGCUAGGGGAGCGAACAGGAUUAGAGACCCUGGUAGUCCUAGCCGUAAACGAUGGAUGCUAGGUGUAGGAGUGAAGAGCUUCUGUGCCGCAGCGAACGCGAUAAGCAACCCGCCUGGGGAGUACGGCCGCAAGGUUAAAACUCAAACGAAUUGACGGGGACCCGCACAAGCAGCGGAGCGUGUGGUUUAAUUCGAUGCUACACGAAGAACCUUACCUGGGAUUGACAUAUGGGUGGUAGUGAUCCGAAAGGAGAGCGACCCUUCGGGGAGCCUAUACAGGUGCUGCAUGGCUGUCGUCAGCUCGUGCCGUGAGGUGUCGGGUUAAGUCCCGUAACGAGCGCAACCCUUGUCCUUAGUUACAAGUGUCUAAGGGGACUGCCGGCGGGAAGCCGGAGGAAGGUGGGGAUGACGUCAAGUCAGCAU
This 1115-nucleotide ribosomal RNA is filed under the name uncultured organism. Its description in RNAcentral is "bacterial SSU rRNA". It matches the Rfam family "Bacterial small subunit ribosomal RNA", at positions 49 to 1196 of the family's 1533-position model. The record is from RNAcentral.